Molecule: ribosomal RNA, 197 nt
Filed under: Salmonella enterica
Lineage: Bacteria; Pseudomonadati; Pseudomonadota; Gammaproteobacteria; Enterobacterales; Enterobacteriaceae
Description: partial 23S ribosomal RNA
Rfam family: Bacterial large subunit ribosomal RNA
Source: RNAcentral
AAAUGCGGAAGAGAUAAGUGCUGAAAGCAUCUAAGCACGAAACUUGCCCCGAGAUGAGUCUUCCCUGAGACUAUAAGUCUCCUGAAGGAACGUUAAAGACGAUGACGUUGAUAGGCCGGGUGUGUAAGCGCAGCGAUGCGUUGAGCUAACCGGUACUAAUGAACCGUGAGGCUUAACCUUACAACGCCGAAGCUGUU